CCAUGCGGACAAAAAUUCGGGGGGAAGAGAAAAGUUGAGCCGCUCCAACUCUGAAGUCCGACGGCCUGAACAAUCCUGACCAUCACCGCCGCCUGCCCGCCUCCGCUCCGCCGUUUCCCGCCCAAAUCCCCACCGCCGCGCCGCCCAAAUGUCGGGGAAGAAGGAGGAGGAGGAGGAGGAGGAGGAGGACGCCCAGGUGAAUGCGCUUGCGUGCUUCCUCCACGAUACCUACUCCGACAGCUUUCGCAGCAUCCUCCUCGACGACGAUCCCUCGAAGCUCCAUUUCCCGCUCGUUAUUGAAUUCGCGGAACUUAUGGACUUCGACCCCAAGUUCGCCGGGAAACUCUACUCCAGUCCCGACAAGUACCUCCCCUUCCUCGACAAGGCCGCUAAAUGGGUCAAGGAUAAGAUGCUCGAGAAAUUGCUCGAGGAAUUGGGUGAUUUGAAACACGCAGUACCAAGGAAGUACGUGCGCGUACGUAUCGACGUCUCUGGAUCACCGCUAGAAUUCCCUGAGGCGUCCCCGAGUAUUGGAAAGGUGAGGGUGAAUCACAUGAGGAAGUUGAUUACUCUGAAGGGAACUGUGAUAAGAUCAGGCGGAGUCAAGAUGAUUGAGUAUGAAAGGGACUACAUGUGCAGGAAGUGCCAGCACAGUUUCUCGGUUUGUCCUGAGCUGGAGGCUGGGAAUCGCAUAAACCUUCCUGCAUUGUGCCCAUCAAAGAGUUCAAGAGGCUGUGGAAGUGCUUCUUUCCAGUUCAUAGAAGGUAGUACCGUCUGCCGUGAUUACCAAGAAAUUAAAAUUCAGGAAAACGUACAACUUCUGGGUGUUGGAUCUAUACCCCGUUCAAUACCUGUAGUUUUGAUGGAUGACCUUGUUGAUAGCAUUAAAGCUGGAGAUGAUGUUAUUAUUACGGGCAUAUUAUCUGCCAAAUGGUCUCCUGAUAUUAAGGAUGUGCGAUCCAACCUUGAUCCUAUGCUGCUUGCCAAUUAUGUGAGGAGCACAAAUGAGCUGAAAUCUGAUAUAGACAUUCCUGCGGAAACUGAAGAGGAGUUUAAGCAUUUCUGGGAAAAAUACAGGCUUACUCCACUAAAAGGAAGAAAUUUUAUCUUGGAAGGCAUCUGUCCUCAAAUUUUUGGGCUAUUCACAGUGAAGCUUUCAGUUGCUCUUACAUUAAUUGGUGGAGUGCAGCAUGUUGACGCUUCUGGAACAAAGGUUCGUGGAGAACCCCAUAUGCUUCUUGUUGGUGAUCCAGGUACUGGUAAAUCCCAGUUUUUAAAGUUUGCUGCUAAAUUGAGCAACCGCUCUGUGAUUACAACUGGUCUUGGAAGCACCAGUGCUGGUUUAACUGUCACAGCUGUCAAGGAUGGAGGAGAGUGGAUGCUUGAGGCUGGUGCUCUUGUUCUGGCUGAUGGUGGUUUAUGCUGCAUUGAUGAAUUUGACAGCAUGCGAGAGCACGACAGAACAACAAUACAUGAAGCCAUGGAGCAACAGACAAUAAGUAUUGCAAAGGCUGGACUAGUUACAACACUCAGUACAAGGACUACUGUUUUUGGUGCCACAAAUCCAAAAGGGCAAUACGACCCUGAUGAAAGCUUAUCUGUGAAUACAACACUUUCAGGACCGUUGUUGAGUAGAUUUGAUAUAGUUCUUGUUCUCUUGGAUACACAAAAUACUGAUUGGGAUAAAAUCGUUUCAUCUCAUAUAUUGAAGGAGAAUUUUGAUGAAAAGAAAGACAAGACAAAUGCUUCUGAUGCAAAAUGGAUGCUCCCCAAGUUGAGAAGGUACAUCAACUAUGUAAAGCGGUUUAAACCAGUUCUGACAAAGGAGGCAGAAAGAGUUAUCUCAAGUUAUUAUCAGCUUCAGAGAAAAUCAGGAACACAUAAUGCAGCACGAACGACGGUACGCAUGCUUGAAAGUUUGAUAAGGCUUGCACAAGCACAUGCAAGGCUAAUGUUCAGAAAUGAGGUUAAACAACUUGACGCCAUUGCUGCCAUAUUGUGCAUUGAAUCCUCCACGACAACAUCUCCAAUAGUGGACACUGUUGGAAAUGCUCUGCACUCAAAUUUUACAGAAAACCCUGAUGAAGAAUGUAUCCUAACAUGCGAUUUGGAUUCAAGUCAUUUUAUCAGUAAAAUCUCCCUAAAAACUUCAAACUGAAUUCUCUUUGUUUUUUUUGUUUUGUUGUAUCUUCAAAAAUAUUAGUCUAUUUCUUCAGCAUGCCUGUGGAAGCAAGGAUAUACAUUAGAGGCAUCUAUUCUCCCCUGUAAAUAUUAAUUCUGCUGCAGAAUGUAUGUCCUGCUGAUAACUGGAUCCUUGCCACUUGGGAUGCUUCCAUCAUAAAUACAGCUAAGGAUGCAAAUAAAACACAGGAGAAGAAGAUCCUUAAGAAGCUUGGGCUAAUUGAAGGUUCCCCAUAAUUCAAUACAAAUCAUCAGCUGCUGCAUCUCAAGGUGAACUUGCUAAGGCCAUGGUUGGAUGAGGUCUACCUUUGCAGCUCAUGGUUGGAUGGGCGUUAUAACAUUUGCAGUUCAUGGUGUAUAUACCUCAUAUAACCAUUUUGCAGUCUGUAUCAGAUAGGCAUUGUAACGUGUAACAUUUUUCUUUUGCCACUCAGGAUUUUAUCUUAUGAUAUCUAUCUGUUCAAAUUGAAAUAAUUUUAACUCGCUGAGUUUGUCCUCCUUUGUCAA
Panicum hallii is the source of this 2688-nucleotide RNA transcript. It is a transcript of the gene named probable DNA helicase MCM9, with no coding region annotated. The record is from RefSeq and is a predicted model, not a curated record. The transcript has 21 exons. Lineage: Eukaryota; Viridiplantae; Streptophyta; Magnoliopsida; Poales; Poaceae.